RNAcentral lists this ribosomal RNA (610 nucleotides) under uncultured bacterium. RNAcentral describes it as "bacterial SSU rRNA". It matches the Rfam family "Bacterial small subunit ribosomal RNA", at positions 79 to 685 of the family's 1533-position model. The record is from RNAcentral.
CUUGCUUCUCUUGAGAGCGGCGGACGGGUGAGUAAUGCCUAGGAAUCUGCCUGGUAGUGGGGGAUAACGUCCGGAAACGGACGCUAAUACCGCAAACGUCCUACGGGAGAAAGCAGGGGACCUUCGGGCCUUGCGCUAUCAGAUGAGCCUAGGUCGGAUUAGCUAGUUGGUGGGGUAAUGGCUCACCAAGGCGACGAUCCGUAACUGGUCUGAGAGGAUGAUCAGUCACACUGGAACUGAGACACGGUCCAGACUCCUACGGGAGGCAGCAGUGGGGAAUAUUGGACAAUGGGCGAAAGCCUGAUCCAGCCAUGCCGCGUGUGUGAAGAAGGUCUUCGGAUUGUAAAGCACUUUAAGUUGGGAGGAAGGGCAGUAAAUUAAUACUUUGCUGUUUUGACGUUACCGACAGAAUAAGCACCGGCUAACUCUGUGCCAGCAGCCGCGGUAAUACAGAGGGUGCAAGCGUUAAUCGGAAUUACUGGGCGUAAAGCGCGCGUAGGUGGUUCGUUAAGUUGGAUGUGAAAUCCCCGGGCUCAACCUGGGAACUGCAUUCAAAACUGACGAGCUAGAGUAUGGUAGAGGGUGGUGGAAUUUCCUGUGUAGCGGUGAA